RNAcentral lists this ribosomal RNA (387 nucleotides) under uncultured bacterium. RNAcentral's name for it is "bacterial SSU rRNA". It matches the Rfam family "Bacterial small subunit ribosomal RNA", at positions 29 to 417 of the family's 1533-position model. The record is from RNAcentral.
AUUGAACGCUGGCGGCAUGCCUUACACAUGCAAGUCGAACGGCAGCACGGGGGCAACCCUGGUGGCGAGUGGCGAACGGGUGAGUAAUACAUCGGAACGUGCCCAGUAGUGGGGGAUAGCUCGGCGAAAGCCGGAUUAAUACCGCAUACGACCUACGGGUGAAAGCGGGGGAUCGCAAGACCUCGCGCUAUUGGAGCGGCCGAUGUCAGAUUAGGUUGUUGGUGGGGUAAAGGCCUACCAAGCCGACGAUCUGUAGCUGGUCUGAGAGGACGACCAGCCACACUGGGACUGAGACACGGCCCAGACUCCUACGGGAGGCAGCAGUGGGGAAUUUUGGACAAUGGGCGCAAGCCUGAUCCAGCCAUGCCGCGUGCGGGAAGAAGGCCU